GACGAACGCUGGCGGCGUGCUUAACACAUGCAAGUCGAACGGGUCUGCCCUGUUUUUUGCGGGGUGGGUCAGUGGCGAACGGGUGAGUAACACGUGAGUAACCUGCCCCUCACUUCUGGAUAACCGCUUGAAAGGGUGGCUAAUACGGGGUGUUCUGGCUGUGCCGCAUGGUGUGGCUGGGAAAGAUUCACUUUUGUGGUGUUUUGGUGGGGGAUGGGCUCGCGGCCUAUCAGCUUGUUGGGGGGGUGAUGGCCUGCCAAGGCUUUGACGGGUAGCCGGCCUGGGAGGGUUGGCGGUCCCACUGGGACUGGGGUACGGCCCAGACUCCUGCGGGAGGCAGCAGUGGGGGGUAUUGCACAAUGGGCGGAAGCCUGAUGCAGCGACGUCGCGUGAGGGAUGGAGGCCUUCGGGUUGUGAACCUCUUUCGCCGGUGAAGAAGGUCCUGCUCUUUGUGGUGGGGUUGACGGUAGCCGGGUUAUGAAGCGCCGGCUAACUACGUG
RNAcentral lists this ribosomal RNA (500 nucleotides) under uncultured bacterium. RNAcentral's name for it is "partial 16S ribosomal RNA". It matches the Rfam family "Bacterial small subunit ribosomal RNA", at positions 28 to 507 of the family's 1533-position model. The record is from RNAcentral.